Long non-coding RNA from Cynocephalus volans (Philippine flying lemur), 850 nucleotides. RefSeq lists it as uncharacterized. The record is from RefSeq and is a predicted model, not a curated record. NCBI's taxonomy places the organism in Eukaryota, Metazoa, Chordata, Mammalia, Dermoptera, Cynocephalidae. The transcript is spliced from 4 exons.
UUCCUCGCGGCCCCCCGCUGCCGGGCCAGCUGUCACCAUGAAGAAAUUCUUCCAGAUCGUCAAGGCUGACAUGGAGUUCAAGAGAGCGGGGCCCAGUCAGAAGCUCACAGACUCCGUGGGGUAACUGAGGCCAAAGAGGAAGGCUUAACCCACCUGGCUGUACCUACUCUGAGGAAGGACCAAUGGGAUGCUUGCAUCAGAGAGGCCAUUCUCUUGGGAAGAACCCAGAGGAGGGGGCCUGAGACCUCCAGGAGUGGCUGGAGAGCCAGAGGCAUGUCCUGAAACCCAAACCCAGGGAAACGGAGCACCUCCUGUGUCAUCAUCGAAUGGUGACUGUCAAUGUAAAAGAGAAGUCCCAGGACAGAAGCCAGGUGAAAGAAGGUCUCUGCUGGAAAAUAACACGUGCUGAUUCCUGUAGAGUUAACCGCUGACCACAGAUUUCUGCAAAUCGUCCUCCGGUGCGGUUGGCAUUUCCCCAAGCAUGGAUGGAUACCUGUGGCUGUGGGGCACUUCCCGCACCAGAAGACAACACAGACUCGGGGUCGGUGGGCUGCCGCCCCCAGCUGCAGAGGAGGAAAAGAGACAAGUGAAAACGUGAAGUAAAGGGUGGGUGCCAUGGGGGGCAGGACCUCCCCUGCCCCUCCCAGCACUGGAUAGUACUUUCUUUCCCAACCAUUAGAAAUGUGGUGGGUGGAAAAAUUUCCUUUGUGUUUCUUUCUUUGCAAGUGAAGUUGACUUUCUCUUUAUGGGGUGUGUGUGGAGUACACUCAUUGCCACAUUUCUCUCGUGUGACCUGCCUGUUUGCAUCCUUCGUCCAUCUUUCUCAUCGGCUGGCAUGGACUCUUUGCAC